Molecule: ribosomal RNA, 470 nt
Filed under: uncultured bacterium
Lineage: Bacteria
Description: bacterial SSU rRNA
Rfam family: Bacterial small subunit ribosomal RNA
Source: RNAcentral
GAGCGGCUCUGUCUUCGGGACAAGUUAGCGGCGGACGGGUGAGUAUCACGUAUGCACCUGCCGAUAAGACUGGGAUAUCCUCCGUGAAACGGAAUCUAAGACCGGAUACGUUGAUUUCUCGCAUGAGGGAUCAUGGAAAGACGGAUCAAUCUGUCACUUAUCGAUGGGCCUGCGGCGCAUUAGCUAGUAGGUGGGGUAAUGGCUCACCUAGGCGACGAUGCGUAUCCGACCUGAGAUGGUGAACGGCCUCUCUGGGACUGAUACACGGCCCAUACUCCUACGGGAUGCAGCAGUAUGGAAUCUUCGGCAAUGGACGAAUGUCUGACCGAGCAUCUCCGCGUGAGUGAAGAAUGGUUUCGGCUCGUAAAACUCUGUUGCCAAUGAAGAACGCUGAGUAGAGUAUCUGCUACUCAUGUGACGGUACUUGAGAAGAAAGCCCCGGCUAACUACGUGCCAGCAGCCGCGGUAAU